GCCCCGCAAGCCCAGGCAAGUCCUCGCAGUGCGAGCCCAGCGGCCCAGCGACCCCAGUUCCGGGCCCGCGGCACUGCCGGCGGCGUCCCCAGCUCCGGAGUUUGUCCGGGCCCGGGCCACUCGGGGCCAGGAAGGGAGGGGCGCCGCGGGUGACUCAGCCGCCGUGACUCGGCCGCCGUGACUCGGCGGAACGGACGCCGCGCCUUCCCUCCCCUGGCGACACGUGCUCGCCGCCCCUCGACAGGAAAUGGGCACCUGCAGCUCCCCAAGUGCCCCCAGCCUGCAGUGGGCGCCGUUCGGUGCCGAGGGCAGGGGCGCGCGAGCUGUCCCUGGCGUCCGCCCCGGCACCUGGCCCAGUCUCUGUCUGAGUCCUUCCGCCACGGGGUGGACAGCCGGCCACCGGGAGCCCAGAGGGUCCCACCGCCCCGGAGCCCGGCUGCACCGCGCAGAGGAGGGGGCUGGAACCUGACGUCGCGGUAGACGGGGGCGGACACACAGGAGGUCACCGACAGAUCCCGCCUUCCUGCUGCGUCCAGGGGUUCCCGACGUAUCCCAGGCGCGGGAUGCCAAGGGGGAGACGUCUGCUGACCGCCCGGGGCUGGGACAUAGCCCGGACGUCAUACGUCCCUUCCGAGGCGGGCGGGACGCACAAAUGAGCAGUGGACCGCAGGUGCGGCCGAGGAUUCCCCCGCGGACUUACGCACCUGCCGGGAGCCUGCGAACCCGCUCGACCUGGGCCGGCCUCGGCGAAAUAGAACGAAGCCGACGCGUAGCAACCUUGCCACGCCGGGGAGGCUGGGAUGAAGAACGUGGACCCGCUGGAAGCCGCCAAAUGGAUGAGAAAAAAAAAGAAAAAGAAAAAAAAACCACACGUGGUACCUAAUUCUGGCUCUCACGAUUUGCUG
This is a non-coding RNA of Oryctolagus cuniculus (rabbit), 905 nucleotides long. Lineage: Eukaryota; Metazoa; Chordata; Mammalia; Lagomorpha; Leporidae. The record is from RefSeq and is a predicted model, not a curated record.